Mandrillus leucophaeus (drill) is the source of this 1371-nucleotide RNA transcript. It is a transcript of the gene named keratin, type I cytoskeletal 19 pseudogene, with no coding region annotated. The record is from RefSeq and is a predicted model, not a curated record. The transcript has a single exon. Lineage: Eukaryota; Metazoa; Chordata; Mammalia; Primates; Cercopithecidae.
UCCUCCCGCGAAUCUCAGCCUCUGGCACCAGGGCCGCUCCGUCCGUGCUCCGCCUCGCCACGACUUCCUACUGCUACAGCCAGUCGUCCGCAAAGUCGUCCUUCGGGGGCCUGGGCGGCGGCUCCGUGAGUUUGGGGCCAGGGGUCGCCUUUUGCGCGCCCAGCAUGCACUGGGGCCGGCGGCCGCGGCGCGUCCGUGUCCUCCGCCCGCUUCGUGUCUGUCCUCGUCCUCCUUGGGGGGCUACAGCGGCGUCCCGGCCGCGUCCGACCGGCUGCUGGAGGGCAACGAGAAGCUCACUAUGCAGAACCUCAACGACCGCCUGGCCUCCUACCUGGACAAGGUGCGCGCCCUGGAGGCUGCCAACUGCGAGCUGGAGGUGAAGAUCCGCGACUGGUACCAGAAGCAGGGUCCCGGGCCCUCCCGUGACUACAGCCACUACUACAAGACCAUCCAGGACCUGCAGGACAAGCUUCUUGGUGCCACCAUUGAGAACUCCAGGAUUGUCCUGGAGAUCGACAACGCCCGUCUGGCUGCAGAUAACUUCCGAACCAAGACUGACACGGAGCAGGUUCUGCGCAUGACCGUGGAGGCCGACAUCAACGGCCUGCGCAGGGUGCUGGGCGAGCUGACCCUGGCCAGUACCGUCCUGGAGAUGCAGAUUGAAGGCCUGAAGGAAGAGCUGGCCUACCUGAAGAAGAACCAUGAAGAGGAAAUCAGUGGGCUGAGGGGCCAAGUGGGAGGCCAGGUCAGUGUGGAGGUGGAUUCUGCUCGGGGCACCGAUCUCGCCAGGAUCUUGAGUGACAUGCGAAGCCAAUACAAGGUCAUGGCGGAGCAGAACUGGAAGGAUGCUGAAGCCUGGUUCACCAGCCGGACUGAAGAACUGAACCGAGAGGUCGCUGGCCACACGGAUCAGCUCCAGAUGAGCCUGUCCAAGGUGACUGACCUGCGGCACACCCUCCAGGGUCUUGAGCUGCAGUCACAGCUGAGCAUGAAAGCCACCUUGGAAGGCACACUGGCAGAAACGGAGGCGCGCGUUGGAGCCCAGCUGGCGCAGAUCCAGUCGCUGAUCAACGGUAUUGAAGUCCAGCUGGGCGAUGUGCGAGCUGAUAGUGAGCGGCAAAAUCAGGAGUACCAGCAGUUCACGGACAACAAGUCGCGGCUGCAGCAGGAGAUCGCCACCUACCGCAGCCUGCUCGAGGGCCAGGAAUAUCACUACAAUAAUCUUUCUGCCUCCAAGGUCCUCUGAGGCAGCAGGCUAAGGGGCUUCUGCUGUCCUUCGGAGGGUGCCUCCUGGGUGGGAGGAUGGGAACGAAGGUACCCUUAUCCCCUGCUCUUCCCCUGAUCUGCCAAUAAAAUUUUAUGGUCCAAGGG